This 366-nucleotide long non-coding RNA is filed under the name Nicotiana benthamiana. RNAcentral's name for it is "long non-coding RNA (NBEN_LNC002795)". The record is from RNAcentral. Lineage: Eukaryota; Viridiplantae; Streptophyta; Magnoliopsida; Solanales; Solanaceae.
CAAACACACCCAUAAUGUAAAAGGAAAUAGAUAAUUUUAAAAGAUAUCUUAGAACAUAAUUUAGAUAAAAUAAGUAACUUACUUGCUUACAGGAGAGAGAUUUCCCUUUCGAAAAACCCGAAAAGAGUCUACUGAACUUCAAGAAUUAAAAACGAUCACACAUAAGCACACAAUAUUUAUUUAUUUUACAAGCUUAGAGGAGGAACUACUAGAAUAUUCAUAAGGGAAUUUUUUACAAGGUGUUUUGGAAAGAAUUUUUGGUUUAUGGAAAGGUUGGCUGAGUAGGUUCCCUUCAAAGUAUUUUUCAUUCUCUUUUUUAGUGUGUCUUUCUCUUAUUCUUUGUCUUGCUUUUAUAGCCGAAUUUUA